UACGUAGGGUGCGAGCGUUGUCCGGAAUUACUGGGCGUAAAGAGCUCGUAGGUGGUUUGUCGCGUCGUCUGUAAAAUUCCGGGGCUUAACCUCGGGCGUGCAGGCGAUACGGGCAAUACUUGAGUGCUGUAGGGGAGACUGGAAUUCCUGGUGUAGCGGUGAAAUGCGCAGAUAUCAGGAGGAACACCAAUGGCGAAGGCAGGUCUCUGGGCAGUUACUGACGCUGAGGAGCGAAAGCAUGGGUAGCGAACAGGAUUAGAUA
RNAcentral lists this ribosomal RNA (262 nucleotides) under uncultured prokaryote. RNAcentral's name for it is "partial 16S ribosomal RNA". It matches the Rfam family "Bacterial small subunit ribosomal RNA", at positions 524 to 784 of the family's 1533-position model. The record is from RNAcentral.